RNAcentral lists this ribosomal RNA (494 nucleotides) under uncultured bacterium. RNAcentral's name for it is "partial 16S ribosomal RNA". It matches the Rfam family "Bacterial small subunit ribosomal RNA", at positions 28 to 507 of the family's 1533-position model. The record is from RNAcentral.
GACGAACGCUGGCGGCGCGCUUAACACAUGCAAGUCGAACGGAAAGGCCUGCUUUCCCUUGUGGGUUGCGGGUACUCGAGUGGCGAACGGGUGUGUCACACGUUAGUGAUCUGCCCCCAACUUGGGUAUAAGCCUGGGAAACUGGGUCUAAUUCCCGCUAGGACUGCAGGGUGGUGCAUGUGGUGGAAAACGAUUUUCUCGUGGUUGGGGAUGAGCUCGCGGCCUGUCAGCUUGUUGGUGGGGUAUUGGCCUACCAAGGCGGCGACCGGUAGCCGGCCUGAGAGGGUGGACGGAGACAGUGGGAGGGAGAUUCGGCCCAGAGUCCUGCGGGAGGCAGCAGUGGGGAAUAGUAGACAAUGAUCGUGAGCCUUGUGCAGCGGCGCGGCGUAGGGGAGGACGGCGUGCGGGGUGGGAACUCCGGUCGACCGCGGGUAAGCGACCUGGUUGGAAGGGUGGUGACGGUAGUGGUAGAAGAAGCACCGGCUAACUACGUG